GGAGGUAUAGCUCAGCAAUAGAGUGGGUGCUUAGCAUGCACAAGAUCCUGGGUUCAAUCCCCAGUACCUCAA
This 72-nucleotide transfer RNA is filed under the name Camelus bactrianus (Bactrian camel). It matches the Rfam family "tRNA". From Rfam's summary of the family: Transfer RNA (tRNA) molecules are approximately 80 nucleotides in length. Their secondary structure includes four short double-helical elements and three loops (D, anti-codon, and T loops). Further hydrogen bonds mediate the characteristic L-shaped molecular structure. tRNAs have two regions of fundamental functional importance: the anti-codon, which is responsible for specific mRNA codon recognition, and the 3' end, to which the tRNAs corresponding amino acid is attached (by aminoacyl-tRNA synthetases). tRNAs cope with the degeneracy of the genetic code in two manners: having more than one tRNA (with a specific anti-codon) for a particular amino acid; and 'wobble' base-pairing, i.e. permitting non-standard base-pairing at the 3rd anti-codon position. The record is from Rfam by way of RNAcentral. Lineage: Eukaryota; Metazoa; Chordata; Mammalia; Artiodactyla; Camelidae. RNAcentral also lists the same sequence under 2 other names.